Molecule: ribosomal RNA, 279 nt
Filed under: uncultured bacterium
Lineage: Bacteria
Description: partial 16S ribosomal RNA
Rfam family: Bacterial small subunit ribosomal RNA
Source: RNAcentral
UGCCAGCAGCCGCGGUAAUACGGAGGGUGCAAGCGUUAUCCGGAUUCACUGGGUUUAAAGGGUGCGUAGGUGGGUUGGUAAGUCAGUGGUGAAAUCCCCGAGCUUAACUUGGGAACUGCCAUUGAUACUAUUAGUCUUGAAUACCGUGGAGGUCGGCGGAAUAUGUCAUGUAGCGGUGAAAUGCUUAGAUAUGACAUAGAACACCAAUUGCGAAGGCAGCUGGCUACACGAGUAUUGACACUGAGGCACGAAAGCGUGGGGAUCAAACAGGAUUAGAUA